RNAcentral lists this ribosomal RNA (387 nucleotides) under uncultured bacterium. RNAcentral's name for it is "bacterial SSU rRNA". It matches the Rfam family "Bacterial small subunit ribosomal RNA", at positions 28 to 417 of the family's 1533-position model. The record is from RNAcentral.
GACGAACGCUGGCGGCGUGCUUAACACAUGCAAGUCGAGCGGUAAGGCCCUUUCGGGGGUACACGAGCGGCGAACGGUGAGUAACACGUGGGUGACCUGCCCUCAGCUCUGGGAUAAGCCUGGGAAAACCGGGUCUAAUACUGGAUAUGACUCCAUGACGCAUGUUGUGGGGUGGAAAGCCUUGUGCGGCUGAGGAUGGGCCCGCGGCCUAUCAGCUUGUUGGUGGGGUGAUGGCCUACCAAGGCGACGACGGUAGCCGGCCUGAGAGGGCGACCGGCCACACUGGGACUGAGACACGGCCCAGACUCCUACGGGAGGCAGCAGUGGGGAAUCUUGCGCAAUGGGCGAAAGCCUGACGCAGCGACGCCGCGUGAGGGAUGACGGCCU